RNAcentral lists this ribosomal RNA (498 nucleotides) under uncultured bacterium. Its description in RNAcentral is "partial 16S ribosomal RNA". It matches the Rfam family "Bacterial small subunit ribosomal RNA", at positions 28 to 507 of the family's 1533-position model. The record is from RNAcentral.
GAUGAACGCUGGCGGCGUGCCUAAUACAUGCAAGUCGAGCGAACAGACGAGGAGCUUGCUCCUCUGACGUUAGCGGCGGACGGGUGAGUAACACGUGGAUAACCUACCUAUAAGACUGGGAUAACUUCGGGAAACCGGAGCUAAUACCGGAUAAUAUAUUGAACCGCAUGGUUCAAUAGUGAAAGACGGUUUUGCUGUCACUUAUAGAUGGAUCCGCGCCGCAUUAGCUAGUUGGUAAGGUAACGGCUUACCAAGGCGACGAUGCGUAGCCGGCCGGGGAGGGGGAUCGGCCACACUGGAACGGGAACACGGUCCAAACCCCAACGGGAGGGAGCAGUAGGGAAGCUUCCGGAAUGGGGGAAAGGCUGACCGGGACAACCCGGGGGAGUGAAGAAAGGUUUUGGAUCGUAAAAUUCUGUUUGUGGAGAAGAAAGAAAGUGGGAAUUGCCAUGACAGGCAUUGACGGUACCUAACCAGAAAGCGACGGCAAACUCCGUG